RNAcentral lists this ribosomal RNA (254 nucleotides) under uncultured bacterium. RNAcentral describes it as "partial 16S ribosomal RNA". It matches the Rfam family "Bacterial small subunit ribosomal RNA", at positions 524 to 776 of the family's 1533-position model. The record is from RNAcentral.
UACGAAGGGGGCUAGCGUUGUUCGGAAUUACUGGGCGUGAAAGGGCGCGUAGGCGGUCUGAUAAGUUAGAUGUGAAAUUCCCGGGCUUAACCUGGGCGCUGCAUUUAAUACUGUUGGGCUUGAAUUCAGGAGAGGAUAGCGGAAUUCCCAGUGUAGAGGUGAAAUUCGUAGAUAUUGGGAAGAACACCGGUGGCGAAGGCGGCUAUCUGGACUGACAUUGACGCUGAGGCGCGAAAGCGUGGGGAGCAAACAGG